Long non-coding RNA from Acanthopagrus latus (yellowfin seabream), 729 nucleotides. RefSeq lists it as uncharacterized. The record is from RefSeq and is a predicted model, not a curated record. The transcript is spliced from 3 exons. NCBI's taxonomy places the organism in Eukaryota, Metazoa, Chordata, Actinopteri, Spariformes, Sparidae.
UUGUGUUUUGCUUUUCAUUUCCUCCUAUUGUGUCAUUCCCCGCCCUCUUCCUGUGUCCACCUGUGUCUUGUUAGUUAAUCAGCCCCUGUGUAUAUUUAAGCCUGUGUUCUCCUGGUUGGCUUUGUCGGUCCACCCUGUGUUUUCCUCCAGUGGCUCUCCGUGCUUCUUCACCUGCAAGACCAUCUAAGACCUCCACAGCUGAUGGUCUCGACCUGACUGCAGUUUCUAGGAUUAUCAACCACUCAGAUUUGGAUUUGACUGGGAAACCUCCCGGAUAGCCUCAUGUCUUCCCAUCGCAUCCAAGAGAAAAAGGACCAAUUCUCAGACAAAUAGUUUGCAUAAUCUCUUUUCAGGUUCCUCUGUUUGGAGCUCUGGUGUGUUGCUGACCACAGCUCCAUUUACUACCUCUACUAUCUUAUAUACCUUGUCCAAACCCCCAAACCUCUUUGUUCUUUUAGUGUCUCAUCAAUGUACUUUAGUCUGACUUUUGUUUUUGCCAAUGCUUUACUUGGACCUAAAUUGUUUCUGCUAAAUUAAUAUGUCAGUAGGCUUAUCUCGACUGUACAACAAGAGAACUUUAUUGGCAUCAAGUGGACCAGACUGUCAUCUCACUGGAGCUUAAUGAUUAUUAUAAGCAUCGAAAGUGUUGCAUUUAUAUGUUUUGUUGAGUGUGUAACAGACAUCAAGAUGAUGAACCUUGUAUUCCCAACGGCAUCCAUCUCCAGAGUG